ACACCCAACUCUGCUGAUAUACACUUGAACAUGAGCAUAGUGUGUCCUCUUUAAUAAUUAAUAACGUACAAGGCCAGCACUGCGAGACUCUUAGAAAGGAAAUCACUCAAACAACAGCCUAUGUCCUUCCUUGAAUAUGUUUUUGUAACAACCAAAAUUAAUAAGAUGAAUGAUCAAAGCAUGAAUAAAAAAGAUAAGAAACCAUAAGCUAGUCUCCAGUGGAAAACACAAAUCCACGAUAAGCUAGAAUAACUUGUAUUCGGGGAAACAUGAUCCAAACAGAGCUUUUAGUCAAACUAUUCAGACUGAUAAAACCCCAUAAAGAUUAUGAGAGAGAAAAACUCUGGGAAACUUGAUGACUGAUGCAUAAAAACACAGAAGUCUCUUUCUGUUCGUCUCCGCUUGUUUCUCCCCCUACUUCUUUCUCAAGUCUGAUUGUCCUUCUGUCUUUUUCUCUUCAGGUUUACAUCUUAACUCGUGUUUUUCUUUAUUUGAAUCCCCAGGAAAGACCUUUGAGGCCAAGAAACCGGCAGAAAUCCCAGAGAACGAGCAGGUGAAGCUGGAGCCGGAGCUGGAGGAGGCUCUGAAGAACGCCACGGACGCUGAGAUGUGCGACAUCGCAGCUAUCCUGGGGAUGUACACGCUGAUGAGCAA
Notothenia coriiceps (black rockcod) is the source of this 654-nucleotide long non-coding RNA. RefSeq lists it as uncharacterized. The record is from RefSeq and is a predicted model, not a curated record. Lineage: Eukaryota; Metazoa; Chordata; Actinopteri; Perciformes; Nototheniidae. The transcript is spliced from 2 exons.